Molecule: long non-coding RNA, 948 nt
Organism: Manis pentadactyla (Chinese pangolin)
Lineage: Eukaryota; Metazoa; Chordata; Mammalia; Pholidota; Manidae
Exons: 6
Source: RefSeq, a predicted model, not a curated record
GGCUCUGGAGAGGUUUCAAGGCUCUGUCAUGGCUAAUGUUUCUAUGGAGAACUUAACACUAAGAAGAAAUGUCAAGGAUCUAGUGGCCAAAGGCCACAAAAGGAAGAGGUCACACUUUUCUGCUCCUCCUCUGAAAUCUUAUACCAAGAGGCAUUGAUUCUUCUCCUAAAGUGGCUUCACUGAUGUCUCUGAGGAAAGGGGCCUAUUUUAGGAUUUUUUUUUUUAAAGGAGAAAAAGAAACAGUAAAGAGAAGAGCUGAUUUCCAGCUGUUAUUAUCGAGUUGGCUGGCAGAUGAAAGAGCACUUAGGAAGUCACGCUGGCAGCCCUGAUGAGUCAUGACAGCUCAGCAGUCCCCAGCCUUGCUCCAGGGUCCCAAGGAAGCAGGACUCCUCUGAGUGGUGUUGCCAGAAGCUGCACCUGGGAAGGACUUGGACAACCACUCUGUGUCUGGAACUUCUCUGAUCCAGCAGGAUGAAUGGCAGAGACCCAGAUUGCUAGGAAUGGUCCUUGCCAAACUCAGCUACAGCCCAGCACUUCCAGUGAGUUCCCACACGCCAUCAUCCGGAUCCUACAAGGGGAUUUUGGGAAUCUUCUUUCCCUCCUCAUGAAAGAGCCUCAUCAUGAAAUGGAAAGAAAGGAGAAGGGAAACGAUGAAUUUUGUGUGAAGAUCUGAUGCUUGGAAUUACUGGAAUCAUCUCAUGCCCACGAGGGGACAAAAGCUGAGGAUGGCUGAUCUGAAGGAUGCAAAGUACCUGGGUCUUCAGUGGUGUUGCCAAGCCACAUGAUUACCAGCCUUGGAAUUAUCCUAUCUCCUUGGUUAUGUGAAAUAACAAUUACCUUUACUAGUAAAUAUAUUUGAAGUUGCAUCUUCUAUUAAAUGCAGUCAAAAGUAUUCUUUUGGGAUUAGCAAAUCCAUGGCAGACACUCCAUGCUCUGCCUCUGAUCCCA